This 434-nucleotide ribosomal RNA is filed under the name uncultured bacterium. Its description in RNAcentral is "partial 16S ribosomal RNA". It matches the Rfam family "Bacterial small subunit ribosomal RNA", at positions 29 to 507 of the family's 1533-position model. The record is from RNAcentral.
AGCGAACGCUGGCGGCAGGCCUAACACAUGCAAGUCGAACGAGCCUUUCGGGGUUAGUGGCGGACGGGUGAGUAACACGUGGGAACGUGCCUUUAGGUUCGGAAUAACUCAGGGAAACUUGUGCUAAUACCGAAUGUGCCCUUCGGGGGAAAGAUUAAUCGCCUUUAGAGCGGCCCGCGUCUGAUUAGCUAGUUGGUUGAGGUAAUGGCUCACCAAGGCGACGAUCAGUAGCUGGUCUGAGAGGAUGAUCAGCCACAUUGGGACUGAGACACGGCCCAAACUCCUACGGGAGGCAGCAGUGGGGAAUCUUGCGCAAUGGGCGAAAGCCUGACGCAGCCAUGCCGCGUGAAUGAUGAAGGUCUUAGGAUUGUAAAAUUCUUUCACCGGGGACGAUAAUGACGGUACCCGGAGAAGAAGCCCCGGCUAACUUCGUG